This 489-nucleotide long non-coding RNA is filed under the name Androctonus crassicauda. The record is from RNAcentral. Lineage: Eukaryota; Metazoa; Arthropoda; Arachnida; Scorpiones; Buthidae.
UGGAAUUACUCCAAGAAUAGAAGUGCACAGGUGGCGACUCCUUACUUCCAGCAAAAUCCAAACUGCUGUCUCUGAGACUCUUCCUCCAUUAGAGCUCUCCAGUAACCCAUGAUGGCCCACGACGGGAUGGGACUAGUUUAUAGGAGAGCGUUGUCAAUACCAUUUAUAAAGCCAAGAAUUGCCAUGAUUUAAGACUAAGAUCUGUCUUUUUGGUGACUAACACUUCAAUUCUUUCAACUCCUAUUAAUACCCAUAAUCAGUAACCUACCAAGAAAAGCCCGUAUUUGGAAAGUGUGGAGUUUGUGUUGGAAAAGCUGCCUGGAGAGAAGAGUUGUGUCCUUUACCAUAUUCAACAGGACUCAUUGGGGGAUCAAAAUCAUAAUUUUAAAUUAUGCAUUAUAUUUCUUUUCUCCACUCCUCACAUAUACAGAAACCAUAAUUGAAGUUAACUUUUCUUUUUAAAAAAAAUUUAUAUUCAGUUUGCAGUAG